CUCUUAUUAAGAGAGGUGGAGGGAAAGUGCCCUAUGAAGCCCGGCAACCGUCAUAUUUAUGAAAUGGUGCCAAAUCACUCGAAGCGCAUGCUUUGAAAGAUGAGAG
Molecule: non-coding RNA, 106 nt
Filed under: Sporosarcina sp.
Lineage: Bacteria; Bacillati; Bacillota; Bacilli; Caryophanales; Caryophanaceae
Also listed under: 1 other name
Description: SAM-I sequence
Rfam family: SAM riboswitch aptamer (S box leader)
About the family: The SAM riboswitch is found upstream of a number of genes which code for proteins involved in methionine or cysteine biosynthesis in Gram-positive bacteria. The SAM riboswitch acts at the level of transcription termination control. The predicted structure consists of a complex stem-loop region followed by a single stem loop terminator region.
Source: RNAcentral